RNAcentral lists this ribosomal RNA (255 nucleotides) under uncultured bacterium. Its description in RNAcentral is "partial 16S ribosomal RNA". It matches the Rfam family "Bacterial small subunit ribosomal RNA", at positions 524 to 776 of the family's 1533-position model. The record is from RNAcentral.
UACGGGGGGAGCAAGCGUUGUUCGGAUUUACUGGGCGUAAAGGGCGCGUAGGCGGCCACCGCAAGUCGACUGUGAAAUCUUCGGGCUUAACUCGGAAAGGUCAGCCGAUACUGCGGGGCUAGAGUGCAGAAGGGGCAACUGGAAUUCUCGGUGUAGCGGUGAAAUGCGUAGAUAUCGAGAGGAACACCUGCGGCGAAGGCGGGUUGCUGGGCUGACACUGACGCUGAUUGUGCGAAAGCUAGGGGAGCGAACGGG